This 440-nucleotide ribosomal RNA is filed under the name uncultured bacterium. RNAcentral describes it as "partial 16S ribosomal RNA". It matches the Rfam family "Bacterial small subunit ribosomal RNA", at positions 338 to 795 of the family's 1533-position model. The record is from RNAcentral.
CCUACGGGAGGCAGCAGUGGGGAAUAUUGCACAAUGGGGGGAACCCUGAUGCAGCGACGCCGCGUGAGUGAAGAAGUAUUUCGGUAUGUAAAGCUCUAUCAGCAGGGAAGAAAAUGACGGUACCUGAUUAAGAAGCCCCGGCUAACUACGUGCCAGCAGCCGCGGUAAUACGUAGGGAGCAAGCGUUAUCCGGAUUUACUGGGUGUAAAGGGAGCGUAGACGGCAGGACAAGUCUGGAGUGAAAUGCCGGGGCUUAACCCCGGAACUGCUUUGGAAACUGCGCAGCUGGAGUGCAGGAGAGGUAAGUGGAAUUCCUAGUGUAGCGGUGAAAUGCGUAGAUAUUAGGAGGAACACCAGUGGCGAAGGCGGCUUACUGGACUGUAACUGACGUUGAGGCUCGAAAGCGUGGGGAGCAAACAGGAUUAGAUACCCGUGUAGUC